Non-coding RNA from Pelobates cultripes (western spadefoot toad), 305 nucleotides. The record is from the annotation of a GenBank genome assembly. NCBI's taxonomy places the organism in Eukaryota, Metazoa, Chordata, Amphibia, Anura, Pelobatidae.
GCCAUUUUGAGUUGCUACUGAGGAAUCAGCUAGUGAAGCAGGUAUGUAUUGAGGCUGAAUAAUAGGUUGACUGGGUGCCACUCACAUUUCUGGCAGGUCCUCUUUCCAACUCUAAUGAGCCCUGGUACUUCAAAGCAUUGCCGUGCGUUACUGCCACAAUGCUCCGCACGGCAUACCAGGCUCACAACAGCUGGAGAGAGAAUAUUUCGGAAACAGAAGAGAGCGAGUGCUGGGUCCCGACUGCCACUUCUACAAUGUGAGUGCUACACAGUCAGAGUACACACAGCCACUGGAUCACAAAGGAG